AGCAGUCGCCACGGUAAUACGGAGGGUGCAAGCGUUAAUCGGAAUUACUGGGCGUAAAGCGCACGCAGGCGGUUUGUUAAGUCAGAUGUGAAAUCCCCGAGCUUAACUUGGGAACUGCAUUUGAAACUGGCAAGCUAGAGUCUUGUAGAGGGGGGUAGAAUUCCAGGUGUAGCGGUGAAAUGCGUAGAGAUCUGGAGGAAUACCGGUGGCGAAGGCGGCCCCCUGGACAAAGACUGACGCUCAGGUGCGAAAGCGUGGGGAGCAAACAGGAUUAGAUACCCCUGUAGUCCCUGUCUCUUAUAC
Molecule: ribosomal RNA, 303 nt
Filed under: uncultured bacterium
Lineage: Bacteria
Description: partial 16S ribosomal RNA
Rfam family: Bacterial small subunit ribosomal RNA
Source: RNAcentral